RNAcentral lists this ribosomal RNA (395 nucleotides) under uncultured bacterium. RNAcentral's name for it is "partial 16S ribosomal RNA". It matches the Rfam family "Bacterial small subunit ribosomal RNA", at positions 338 to 730 of the family's 1533-position model. The record is from RNAcentral.
CCUACGGGUGGCAGCAGUGAGGAAUAUUGGUCAAUGGACGGGAGACUGAACCAGCCAAGCCGCGUGCAGGAGGACGGUACUGUGUAUUGUAAACUUCUUUUGUACGGGAAUAAACACAGGUACGCGUCUCUGUCUGAGAGUAUCGUACGAAAAAGCAUCGGCUAACUCCGUGCCAGCAGCCGCGGUAAUACGGAGGAUUCAAGCGUUAUCCGGAUUUAUUGGGUUUAAAGGGUGCGUAGGCGGUCUGUUAAGUUAGGGGGUAAAUCCCGGGGCUCAACUCCGGAAUCGCCGUUGAUACUGUCCGGCUAGAGAGGAGGUGAGGUAGGCGGAAUGCAUGGUGUAGCGGUGAAAUGCGUAGAGAUCACACAGAACAACGAUUGCGAAGGCAGCUUACC